Molecule: ribosomal RNA, 449 nt
Filed under: Staphylococcus aureus
Lineage: Bacteria; Bacillati; Bacillota; Bacilli; Caryophanales; Staphylococcaceae
Description: bacterial LSU rRNA
Rfam family: Bacterial large subunit ribosomal RNA
Source: RNAcentral
AACAGGCUUAUCUCCCCCAAGAGUUCACAUCGACGGGGAGGUUUGGCACCUCGAUGUCGGCUCAUCGCAUCCUGGGGCUGUAGUCGGUCCCAAGGGUUGGGCUGUUCGCCCAUUAAAGCGGUACGCGAGCUGGGUUCAGAACGUCGUGAGACAGUUCGGUCCCUAUCCGUCGUGGGCGUAGGAAAUUUGAGAGGAGCUGUCCUUAGUACGAGAGGACCGGGAUGGACAUACCUCUGGUGUACCAGUUGUCGUGCCAACGGCAUAGCUGGGUAGCUAUGUGUGGACGGGAUAAGUGCUGAAAGCAUCUAAGCAUGAAGCCCCCCUCAAGAUGAGAUUUCCCAACUUCGGUUAUAAGAUCCCUCAAAGAUGAUGAGGUUAAUAGGUUCGAGGUGGAAGCAUGGUGACAUGUGGAGCUGACGAAUACUAAUCGAUCGAAGACUUAAUCAAAA